UACUCUGACCUUUUGUUUUAUUUCUAGAAAAUGCAAUUCUUGACUUGAGAUGAAUCAGUUCCCCAAUUUAUACUUCAUUCGUGGAAACUGGGUCUUGGGCAACAUCUCAGCAAUUCCUUCCAAUCUGAAGUUCUCUCAUCUGCUGGUAACCGGUCCAUUCCUAUUGGCGUUCAAGCAAUCACAAACACAUCCUACUUUUGAGAAAUGUUCCAAAGGAGGAGUCAAAGCGGCUGUAAUCUUGAUUCGGUUUUAUGGGCAAUAGAAUUAUUUUACUGAUUCCUGGAAUCAUGGCUCCUAUACAUCUGCACUCUAUGAGCACUUUGGAAAUUAAAGGAUUGCCAGCUUUUCCACUUUGGGACAAAAAACAUUUGUGCUAAACAGCCGGUAAGUAAAUGCAGUAAACAUAUUUUUACAGUGAAUAGAAUUGUUUUAUAUUUUGGGUACUGAUUGUGAAUCUCUAGUGCUUCUUGAUUAGCAAACAUUUGGCAGUUCCCGAGUCUUUAGACAUUAAAAUGCCAAAACAGAUUUUUAUUUUCAGACUGAGCUCCUAUAUUUUUUUCAUUCCCCUAACAAUUAUCUUCAAAACAUUUGAAAGCACUAAAAUAAAACGUGUUCUGAAAACACAUUCGGAAAUGUUUUACCUGUGUGACUUUAAUAAGUAUGUAAAUAAAAAAAAAAUACUGGGUUGCUGUCUAACUUCCUUAG
Molecule: long non-coding RNA, 705 nt
Filed under: Homo sapiens (human)
Lineage: Eukaryota; Metazoa; Chordata; Mammalia; Primates; Hominidae
Description: HSALNT0061938
Source: RNAcentral